GCAAAUAGUGAAAUCUGGUGGCUCAACCAUCAACCCAUUAUUUGAACUGGAUUGCUCGAGAGCGAGAGAGGUCACUGGAAUUCCUUGUGUAGGAGUGAAAUCCGUAGAUAUAAGGAGGAACACCAAUGGCGUAGGCAGGUGACUGGCUCGUUUCUGACACUGAGGCACGAAAGCGUGGGGAGCGAACGGGAUUAGAUACCCCGGUAGUCCACGCCGUAAACGAUGGAUGCUAGCUGUUAGGAGUAUCGACCCUUCUAGUAGCGAAGCUAACGCGUUAAGCAUCCCGCCUGGGGAGUACGGUCGCAAGAUUAAAACUCAAAGGAAUUGACGGGGACCCGCACAAGUGGUGGAGCGUGUUCUUUAAUUCGAUGAUAAGCGAAGAACCUUACCAGGGCUUGACAUCCUUGGAAUUUCUCCGAAAGGAGAGAGUACUUUAUUGGACCAAGUGACAGGUGUUGCAUGGCCGUCGUCAGCUCGUGUCGUGAGAUGUUAGGUUAAGUCCUUCAACGAGCGCAACCCUUAUGUUUAGUUGAAUUUUUCUAAACAGACUGCCUCGGUAACGGGGAGGAAGGAGGGGAUGAUGUCAGGUCAUUAUUACCCUUACGUCCUGGGCUAGAAACGCGCUACAAUGGCCGGUACAAAGGGCAGCCAACCCGCGAGGGGGAGCAAAUCCCAUCAAAACCGGUCCCAGUUCGGAUUGCAGGCUGAAACUCGCCUGC
This 719-nucleotide ribosomal RNA is filed under the name uncultured bacterium. RNAcentral describes it as "bacterial SSU rRNA". It matches the Rfam family "Bacterial small subunit ribosomal RNA", at positions 587 to 1319 of the family's 1533-position model. The record is from RNAcentral.